RNAcentral lists this ribosomal RNA (548 nucleotides) under uncultured Glomus. RNAcentral describes it as "SSU rRNA". It matches the Rfam family "Eukaryotic small subunit ribosomal RNA", at positions 548 to 1098 of the family's 1831-position model. Lineage: Eukaryota; Fungi; Glomeromycota; Glomeromycetes; Glomerales; Glomeraceae. The record is from RNAcentral.
UUGGAGGGCAAGUCUGGUGCCCGCAGCCGCGGUAAUUCCAGCUCCAAUAGCGUAUAUUAAAGUUGUUGCAGUUAAAAAGCUCGUAGUUGAAUUUCGGGACCAAUUUGUUGGUCGUGCCUCGGUACGUACUGGUAUUAUUGGUUUCUCCCUUCUGAAGAACCUUGAUGUCAUUAAUUUGGUGUCUUGGGGAAUCAGGACUGUUACUUUGAAAAAAUUAGAGUGUUUAAAGCAGGCAUACGCUUGAAUACAUUAGCGUGGAAUAAUGAAAUAGGACGUUUGAUUCUAUUUUGUUGGUUUCUAGGAUCGACGUAAUGAUUAAUAGGGAUAGUUGGGGGCAUUAGUGUUCAAUUGUCAGAGGUGAAAUUCUUGGAUUUAUUGGAGACUAACUACUGCGAAAGCAUUUGCCAAGGAUGUUUUCAUUAAUCAGGAACGAAAGUUAGGGGAUCGAAGACGAUCAGAUACCGUCGUAGUCUUAACCAUAAACUAUGCCGACUAGGGAUCGGAUGAUGUUAAUUUUUUAAUGACUCAUUCGGCGCCUUACGGGAAAC